CGUGUUUCCGGUGUUUAAUAAUCAGUCGCAGCUGCUGCUUGUCUCACAGAAAUAAAAUGUCGCUCCUUAAUUCAGAUAGAUCACCUCCUGUCUCCAAAGUCUGGAUCGCACUGAGACGACUUGACAAAAACGAUGAACGAGUAGUGGCUCUUCGAAAUGUAUCCAUUCCUCAGGCUGAUAGUACUACAAUAAUCCAGAUUCUUUCCGAUUCCUUUGGGUUGAACACUUCUAAUGUCGUAUUCAAGAUUAGGAACCACCGUGGACGUCUGAUCCCUAUAAAUAGCUCCAUACCUGCCAACAGCAAGCACAUACCUCAUGUGUUGGAGCUAACCCGAAUCUUUCAGCAUGUGCAACCUAAACCCAGGAGCAUUCCCAUGACUGUGAUCAACACCAGUAUGAAGACGCGUCUGCAGACCAUUAACAGGAGGAUCCAGAGACUGAGUGACCAUCUGCCUCAGAUUAAACUCCGGCACAAUGAAAGACUAACGCAGGAGAUCGAAUGCCUCAACCAGAAGUUGAGUUUUCUUCACAAGAGGAUGCAAGUUGCAGAUUCCCACAGUUGGAAAGGAAUGCUGACCAGAGCCCCUUUCUGGUAGAACAAGAAAACUGUUGAAAUCAUUUAUUUAUUAGAAUGUUAUUCUAUUAUUUAGUUGUUGUUUUUUGCCUAACAAUUAAUGAGUUAUUCACUUGAAGUGUGAUAAUUUGUUACUAUCUAGAUUUAAGUUUAGCUUUAUGGUGUUUCAAUAAAAUGUACAGUAUGUUGUAAAUGUUCGUAUUA
RNAcentral lists this long non-coding RNA (778 nucleotides) under Gouania willdenowi (blunt-snouted clingfish). Its description in RNAcentral is "lncRNA (ENSGWIG00000011609.1)". Lineage: Eukaryota; Metazoa; Chordata; Actinopteri; Blenniiformes; Gobiesocidae. The record is from RNAcentral.